GCCUGGUUGGCUCAGUUGGUAGAGCAUGUGACUCUUGAUCUUGGGGUUGUAGGUUUGAGCCCCACGUUGGGUA
Transfer RNA from Felis catus (domestic cat), 73 nucleotides. It matches the Rfam family "tRNA". Rfam says of the family: Transfer RNA (tRNA) molecules are approximately 80 nucleotides in length. Their secondary structure includes four short double-helical elements and three loops (D, anti-codon, and T loops). Further hydrogen bonds mediate the characteristic L-shaped molecular structure. tRNAs have two regions of fundamental functional importance: the anti-codon, which is responsible for specific mRNA codon recognition, and the 3' end, to which the tRNAs corresponding amino acid is attached (by aminoacyl-tRNA synthetases). tRNAs cope with the degeneracy of the genetic code in two manners: having more than one tRNA (with a specific anti-codon) for a particular amino acid; and 'wobble' base-pairing, i.e. permitting non-standard base-pairing at the 3rd anti-codon position. The record is from Rfam. NCBI's taxonomy places the organism in Eukaryota, Metazoa, Chordata, Mammalia, Carnivora, Felidae.